GUUGGUGAACCAGCGGAGGGAUCAUUACAGAGUUGCAAAACUCCCAACCCUUUGUGAACAUACCUAAGUUGCUUCGGCAGGCAGGCCCAGGGCGGGUCUGUAGCCUGUUUUCAGGUGCCUGCCGGAGGUUUUAAACUCUACAUUUUAGUGAUAUCUGAGUAAUAAACUUAAAUAAGUCAAAACUUUCAGCAACGGAUCUCUUGGUUCUG
This 209-nucleotide unclassified non-coding RNA is filed under the name rhizosphere metagenome. RNAcentral describes it as "partial ribosomal RNA internal transcribed spacer region". The record is from RNAcentral.